RNAcentral lists this ribosomal RNA (406 nucleotides) under uncultured bacterium. Its description in RNAcentral is "partial 16S ribosomal RNA". It matches the Rfam family "Bacterial small subunit ribosomal RNA", at positions 28 to 526 of the family's 1533-position model. The record is from RNAcentral.
GAUGAACGCUGACAGCAUGCUUAACACAUCAGCAAUUGAUUGGUGGCGGACGGGUGAGUAACGCGUAAAGAACUUGCCUCACAGCUAGGGACAACAUUAGGAAACGAAUGCUAAUACCAAAUACUGUGAGAGAGCUUUGCGUCCCAGUAGCUAUUUGGAGAGGUAACGGAGCACCAAGGCGAGGAUGGGUAGCCGGCCGGGGAGGGUGAUCGGCCACAAGGGGACUGGGACACGGCCCUGACUCCUACGGGCGGCAGCAGUGGGGACUAUAGAACAAUGGACCAAAGUCUGAUCCAGCAAUUCUGUGUGCACGAUGAAGUUUUCGGAAUGUAAAGUGCUUUCAGUUGGGAAGCGGUACCAACAGAAGAAGUGACGGCUAAAUACGUGCCAGCAGCCGCGGUAAUUC